GACGGGGCCCGCACAAGCGGAGGAGCAUGUGGUUUAAUUCGAUGAUACGCGAGGAACCUUACCUGGGCUCGAACGUAAGAUGACUGUAGGUGAAAGCUUACAUCUCUUCGGAGCAUUUUACGAGGUGCUGCAUGGUUGUCGUCAGCUCGUGCCGUGAGGUGUCGGGUUAAGUCCCAUAACGAGCGCAACCCUACCUUUAGUUGCCAUCAGGUAAUGCUGGGGACUCUAAAGGAACUGCCUACGCAAGUAGUGAGGAAGCGGGGAUGACGUCAAAUCAGCACGGCCCUUACGUCCAGGGCUACACACGUGCUACAAUGGCCGAUACAGAGGGCAGCUACCUGGUGACAGGAUGCAAAUCUCCAAAGUCGGUCUCAGUUCGGAUCGGAGUCUGCAACCCGACUCCGUGAAGUUGGAUUCGCUAGUAAUCGCGCAUCAGCCAUGGCGCGGCGAAUACGUUCCCGGGCCUU
RNAcentral lists this ribosomal RNA (467 nucleotides) under uncultured Sphingobacteriales bacterium. RNAcentral's name for it is "bacterial SSU rRNA". It matches the Rfam family "Bacterial small subunit ribosomal RNA", at positions 916 to 1381 of the family's 1533-position model. The record is from RNAcentral. Lineage: Bacteria; Pseudomonadati; Bacteroidota; Sphingobacteriia; Sphingobacteriales.